Molecule: long non-coding RNA, 4727 nt
Filed under: Calidris pugnax (ruff)
Lineage: Eukaryota; Metazoa; Chordata; Aves; Charadriiformes; Scolopacidae
Description: lncRNA (ENSCPUG00000012021.1)
Source: RNAcentral
GGCUCAUGUGAAAGUGUUCAGUGUAGAUAAGCAGCAUAUUGGCUGUCCAAAGAUUUCCUAACUCUCCUAGUUUCAUUUACUAGAAGCCACUAAUCACAACAGGCAUACACAUGGUGGUAGAAGGACACAGACCCUCUGAUUUCUAAGUUUCGUGCCAUGUUGUUUUUACAUAAGUUUUUUGGCAAAUCUGGGUACAGUUUCUUGGAGCAGGGCUAUCUAAUGUUCCAGCUCUGUCAUCUUUCACCGUGAAGUUCCUGCUGUGUGUACGGCUACAGCUGGGACUGCCUGAGUGAAUCACCUCACCUUUCUCAAAGGUCAGUGUGCAUGGAAGAGAAGUCAGAAGAUCAUGAUGUUUCACUGGUUUCCUCCAAUCUGUAAAUUCUGUACAUUAUGGUUACCUCUGCUGCGCAUCCACCUCAAGAAGUGUCCUUCAGUAGCUCUGUGAACCUGCAGGGGAGUAGAUGGGAUUGCAGUCUGAAGAGGACAGGAAAGCAGUCAGAACAGGAUGAAAGCAGGAUCAAGGAAAAAGAGGUAAACACAAUUGCAAUGAACAUUUAUACGCAUACCUUUGCCCUUGUCUAUGCUAGAUGGGGUUGGUGACUUCCCCCUUCUCCUGGUGACAGUAUCAGUUGCAGUUCCUCUACUGGGAAGUUACCUGUGUGGCUGCUGGUGGUGGUAAGACGGAGACUGUAUCCAAGGGAUGGACUGAUAGCUCCUGGCUGCAGUACCAGUAGGGCAUCACAGCUUUGUCACACAGAUCUGAGUCACAGCGUGCUGCAGGGGAGGACUGCUUUAGUCCUAGAACCAAGAGAACCACCAUCUGCACAAGACUCAAAAAUGCCAAAUCUGCUAAAUCACAGGGGCUACAAGGAACAGUUUAUAAAGAGGCUUUAUAUACACUGCAACCCUGAUUCAGUUCUGGGAGUGUCUUUCUAAAAGAAUGCUGUGUCUGUUGUGAAUGAACUGACUGGGCAUUUCAUGGGAUACUGCUCUAUUUUUGUACCUUAUAGCAGGGAAAAACAGUGUGCUCAGGUGUAAAGUGUUGUCUGCCCACAUCUCUUGUCUGUUUCCAAUCUUCUCCAAUAUUUUUCAUCUAUGUUUUUUCAUACCUGUCAUUUUUUGGUUUCCCUUUUCUUCCUCACCUUCCCUGGUGCAAAAGUCGAGUCCUGUGUCAGCCAUAGCAAAGAUUGCUUGCAUUGGAAUAUUCUAGUUCAGAGAAGAACACAGGUACAUAGUUUUUUGAGUGUACAUUAACUCUUGAUUCCAUCAGAAACAAGAGAGUGUGAUUUGCAGCAAGCUUUUAAUUGUGCUAGUUUUUCAUGUGAUAAUUCUUCUUCUAAAACUGUGAGCACUUAUUUCAAAGGACCUUUUGAUAAUGAAGAUUGUAUUGUGUCAGGGUAACCAGCUGUGGUGCAGAGUUUAGAAUAAGAAGGUGUUUAAUAGGGAAGAACUCUAAUGCACAGACUUCACAGGAAGGAGAUUUAGAACUUCAAUUUUUAUUAGCACCAAAUAUCAAGCAAGUUCCAUGACAACAAGCUGUACUUCCAAGCUGGUGAGUUAUUUUGUUUAGGGAAAGUGAGUUGGUAAUUACAUGACACAUCAAUUCAGUCUAUGUACUCUCUUGCGUUUGCAUUUGCAGGAGCUCCUUCAGUUGUGCACAGGUCUGAGCUCACUUCUUCCCCCAAAAGAAGUAUUUUCAACCAUGAGGUUUCAAGGCAUCUCUGUUCUCGAGAGACCAAGUAGCAUAACUUAGGUGCUCACCAGGAGAAUAGUCAAAGCACCUCUGGCUUCUAGGGGAAAAGAGGACUUGUGUGUCCAGUUCCUGCAGCUGAGCUCAUCGCGUGACGAAUUUUUCCAAAUAGCUUCACUUGUAGCUAUAUGCAGCCUCCCUAUUUGACAAAUGCCAACGUGACUUUGAAAUGAAGUUAAUACAGAUGCAAAGACAGUGGCCAUUGGUGGGGAGGGAGGAAGACUGUGUGGUCUUCUGAGGAUUAUAAAGAAGCUUUUAGUGACUUUGACUGUCAUAAGCAAUCUGUAUAGGUUCACAGAGUGAGGGGGGGGGUUCUAAGACAGCCUUAGAAGCAGCACCACAUUGAAGUGCUCUUUUCCUGGAGUACUUGCAAAUGCUUCAUCUUAAUUGAGUCAGUAAACAGCUUUAACUCCCUUGGGGGGAGGACUCAAUUCCUGGAGAAAUGAGAGAACUGAGAGUUGCCUUUUUUUUAUUUUUUUGGUAGAAGUUACCUUGGACAGUAAGCCUGCCACAGUAAAAAAUGUGGGGAUGCAAACACUGCUUCAGGCUCCUCAAUAGUGUGUGGAUGCACGGGAGCAUUUCAAAAGAACAGCAAUAGCAACAUUUCUGGCUGAGGCAUUUUUUUAGCUCAAUAUUCUGGGCGAUUGCUAUCCAAGCUGAUAUAAUACCAGAAUUGGUUAAUUGCAUCUGUGGAUGAUACAAUAACACUGAGUGAGUUUCCAAGGCAAAUUGGGUUACAAGAAGGAAAGGAAAAAAAAAAAAAAAAAAAAAGAAUCCCUGCAGCAUUAGUAUCUCUGAAGAAUACUAAACAACUAGUGACAGUUCUGCUUGAUAACAGCACUCAUUGUUCUGCUUGAUAACAGCGCUCAGCUAGCAAUUUGCAGGCUUGCACUGGGGAACUGAGGAUGUUGAGAGCAAUUCAGAGUAAGUCACUAGUUAAGUCCACAACGAUGCUGAUGUGAAUUAUUUGGUUACAGUACUCAGGUUUUCUUUGCUAUGUAGGGACUAUGGUCUCCUAACUCAAUGUUAAACCUGACCUUCAUAAAGCCAUGUUAGAUGGCUAUCCUUGGGCACUUACAGUUAUAAAAUACAAAUAACUGAAUCCCCUCUGUAUUUGGCAGACUGGAACCUUGAUUAACCAUCCCUGUGUGCAGAACAGCAGAUUUAAAUGGUACAGUAGAGCUGGAAGGGCUGGAGGAGCAAUGGGGUUAAGCUUUAUAGGCAAGGAAAAGUAUUUGUGAAGGAGGGAGAUGAGGACGUGCAUCUGAGUAGACUUUCACAAACCAGUUCCUGAAAUCCCAUUAUUUCUAUAGUAACUUUUGGUAUCUUCAGGAUGAAUGCUUUACACCUGAAAUUCCUGUCACUGUCACAGGAGUUUAAACACAUAAGCAAUGCACAUUAACAGUUGUUUUUUAUGCUGUACUUUGUUUUAUAUAGAUUUCAUUAUAUACAGUUAUAUAUUUUACCUUGUUGGCUGUGAUUUGAACUAUAUUCUGUAAUAGCAAUGCCAUGGGAAUGUAAGGAGAGGUUUAUAGUGAGUGAGGAUCCCAUCUUUUCAAGUUAUUCUUGUAACCACAAGUACAAGGAAGUCUCUGUUAAGCAACUCUGUAGUAACAAAAUGUUACUACAUUUGUAGGGGGGUAGGGGUAGGGAAGGGAAGCAAGGCCUAGGGUAAAAAUGACCUGCAUAGGCAACUGAUGGGAUUUCAGAAAAACAGGCUUUCAAAUUGCAGUUGCUAGGAGAGCUAAUCACGGAAUCACAGGAUUGUUAGAGUUGGAAGGGAUCUCUGGAGAUCAUCUAGUCCAACUCCCCUGCCAAAGCAGGAUUGCCCAGAGCACAUCACUCAGGACUGCAUCUGGGCAGGUCUUGAAAAUCUCCAGAGAAGGGGACUCCACAACCUCCCUGGGCAGCCUGUUCCAGGGCUCUGUCACCCUCACCGGAAAGAAGUUUUUUUCUCAUAUUUGAAUGGGACUUUAUGUUCCAGCUUGAGCCCGUUGCCCCUCGUCCUGUCACUGGGAACCACUGAAAAGUCUGGCUCCAUCCUCCUUCAAUCCACCCUUUAGAUACUUGUAAGGAUUAAUAAGGUCUCCCCUCAGCCUUCUCUUCUCCAGGCUAAAGAGUCCCAGCUCUCUCACCCUAUCCUCAUAUUUUGGUUUUUUUUUUUAACAUAUGGAAAGGUAAGAAGCACAGGGCUCUGUAUUUCAUAGUUUCAUAAGCUACCCUUAAAUCUCUCUGAAAAUUAUCGCCAUGCAGGUAGAAUGUACUUUGCAUUACACAGCUGGUAUAGUCAGCUAAGGCUGAUAUUCCCCGAUUGUGUUAAGCACAGCUGAGAAAAAUGGGAGGAUGUCAGCUGAAAUACUAGGCUAGUUGUUGAUUAAAACAGAAACACUUCUGCCUAUACCAACAUGUAGUUCAAAAAGCAAAGACAACGGAGCUAGGAUAGCUGCUGGGGGAGGGUAUGCUGGGCUUAGGUUUAUUUAAACAAUGGGAUCUUGAAAAUCAAUAGCAUACUUUAUGACCCAGGUUUAAGCUCUAGUGGAAAGACAAACUAGGCUGUAAAGCUAAUACAGCUGCUUUGUGCCUAUAUUUUAAAUGUAUACAUCAUGAUGAAAUUGUGAAAUUCACUGCUACUUACUAUGUAAGACUGAAGCGGGGAGUUUCCCAAAGUCAGAAAGGGAUUAAAAGUAGAUGUGGUUAAUGAGACCAUCUAGUGGUACAGUUAAUGGGAUGAAGAAAAUUCAAGUAAUAUAAACACACCUACUGAAUUGAGGGAGUUGUAAGAAACUUCCACCAAAGGUUUGGCUUAUCCUUUAUAAGGUUUUCUGCAACAACCCCUAAAAACUCUGGGUCUGCUAUUUCAGACCACGUCUAUGCUUACAAUAUGCCUGUGUUGUUCAGAAUGCACUUAGUUGAGAGGCAGUUUCACCUGUGAAGCUGUCUGACCUGGAGGGUACAAUAAAUUGUACUGAAAAAGGCA